This 62-nucleotide transfer RNA is filed under the name bovine gut metagenome. It matches the Rfam family "tRNA", at positions 6 to 65 of the family's 71-position model. Rfam says of the family: Transfer RNA (tRNA) molecules are approximately 80 nucleotides in length. The record is from RNAcentral.
AGUAGCUCAGUCGGUAGAGCGGGUGGCUGUUAACCACUAGGUCAGGGGUUCAAGUCCCUUCU